UACGUAGGGGGCAAGCGUUAUCCGGAUUUACUGGGUGUAAAGGGAGCGUAGACGGUUGUGUAAGUCUGAAGUGAAAUCCCCCGGCUCAACCGGGGAACUGCUUUGGAAACUAUACGACUAGAGUGCAGGAGAGGUAAGUGGAAUUCCUAGUGUAGCGGUGAAAUGCGUAGAUAUUAGGAGGAACACCAGUGGCGAAGGCGGCUUACUGGACUGUAACUGACGUUGAGGCUCGAAAGCGUGGGGAG
This 245-nucleotide ribosomal RNA is filed under the name uncultured Lachnospiraceae bacterium. RNAcentral describes it as "partial 16S ribosomal RNA". It matches the Rfam family "Bacterial small subunit ribosomal RNA", at positions 524 to 768 of the family's 1533-position model. Lineage: Bacteria; Bacillati; Bacillota; Clostridia; Lachnospirales; Lachnospiraceae. The record is from RNAcentral.